UACGUAGGGUGCAAGCGUUGUCCGGAAUUAUUGGGCGUAAAGAGCUCGUAGGCGGUCUGUCGCGUCUGCUGUGAAAACUCAGGGCUUAACCCUGAGCUUGCAGUGGGUACGGGCAGACUAGAGUGCGGUAGGGGAGACUGGAAUUCCUGGUGUAGCGGUGAAAUGCGCAGAUAUCAGGAGGAACACCGAUGGCGAAGGCAGGUCUCUGGGCAUUAACUGACGCUGAGGAGCGAAAGCGUGGGGAGCGAACAGG
RNAcentral lists this ribosomal RNA (253 nucleotides) under uncultured bacterium. Its description in RNAcentral is "partial 16S ribosomal RNA". It matches the Rfam family "Bacterial small subunit ribosomal RNA", at positions 524 to 776 of the family's 1533-position model. The record is from RNAcentral.